RNAcentral lists this ribosomal RNA (433 nucleotides) under uncultured bacterium. RNAcentral's name for it is "partial 16S ribosomal RNA". It matches the Rfam family "Bacterial small subunit ribosomal RNA", at positions 29 to 507 of the family's 1533-position model. The record is from RNAcentral.
AACGAACGCUGGCGGCAUGCCUAACACAUGCAAGUCGAACGAGACCUUCGGGUCUAUGGGCGCACGGGUGCGUAACGCGUGGGAACCUGCCCUUAGGUUCGGAAUAACUCCCCGAAAGGGGUGCUAAUACCGGAUAAUGUCUUCGGACCAAAGAUUUAUCGCCUUUGGAUGGGCCCGCGUUGGAUUAGCUAGUUGGUAGGGUAAAAGCCUACCAAGGCGACGAUCCAUAGCUGGUCUGAGAGGAUGAUCAGCCACACUGGGACUGAGACCCGGCCCAGACUCCUACGGGAGGCAGCAGUGGGGACUAUUGGACACUGGGCGAAAGCCUGAUCCAGCCAUGCCGCGUGAGUGAUGAAGGCCUUAGGGUUGUAAAGCUCUUUUACCCGGGAUGAUAAUGACAGUACCGGGAGAAUAAGCACCGGCUAACUCCGUG